This 16-nucleotide small RNA is filed under the name Arabidopsis thaliana (thale cress). RNAcentral's name for it is "ATSL254050". Lineage: Eukaryota; Viridiplantae; Streptophyta; Magnoliopsida; Brassicales; Brassicaceae. The record is from RNAcentral.
UGUUUCUUCUUGCUCU